RNAcentral lists this unclassified non-coding RNA (261 nucleotides) under Hevea brasiliensis (rubber tree). Lineage: Eukaryota; Viridiplantae; Streptophyta; Magnoliopsida; Malpighiales; Euphorbiaceae. The record is from RNAcentral.
GAAUGUGACUAUCUUAGAGCCACUGCCCUCCCUCGCCUUCAAAUUUCCACUGUGGUGGAUACAAAAACUGGGAAGGGAAUCAAGAGUAGUGUAAGGACGAGCUCUGGCAUGUUUCUGAGUUCUGAAGAAAAGAAGCGUCCAAUGAUACAGGCAAUUGAAAAAAGGAUAUCAGUCUAUUCUCAAGUGCCAAUAGAAAAUGGGGAGCUUAUCCAAGUUUUAAGGUAUGAAAAGAGUCAGUUUUACAAGCCCCAUCAUGACUAC